RNAcentral lists this ribosomal RNA (462 nucleotides) under uncultured bacterium. Its description in RNAcentral is "bacterial SSU rRNA". It matches the Rfam family "Bacterial small subunit ribosomal RNA", at positions 341 to 795 of the family's 1533-position model. The record is from RNAcentral.
ACGGGAGGCAGCAGUGGGGAAUAUUGGACAAUGGGCGAAAGCCUGAUCCAGCCAUGCCGCGUGUGUGAAGAAGGUCUUAGGAUCGUAAAGCACUUUAAGUUGGGAGGAAGGGCAGUAACUUAAUACGUUGCUGUUUUGACGUUACCGACAGAAUAAGCACCGGCUAACUCUGUGCCAGCAGCCGCGGUAAUACAGAGGGUGCAAGCGUUAAUCGGAAUUACUGGGCGUAAAGCGCGCGUAGGUGGUUCGUUAAGUUGGAUGUGAAAUCCCCGGGCUCAACCUGGGAACUGCAUUCAAAACUGUCGAGCUAGAGUAUGGUAGAGGGUGGUGGAAUUUCCUGUGUAGCGGUGAAAUGCGUAGAUAUAGGAAGGAACACCAGUGGCGAAGGCGGCCACCUGGCCCAAUACUGACGCUGAGGCACGAAAGCGUGGGGAGCAAACAGGAUUAGAUACCCUGGUAGUC